RNAcentral lists this unclassified non-coding RNA (320 nucleotides) under uncultured fungus. Its description in RNAcentral is "sequence contains ITS2". The stretch from base 1 to 52 matches the Rfam family "5.8S ribosomal RNA", at positions 103 to 154 of the family's 154-position model. The record is from RNAcentral. Lineage: Eukaryota; Fungi.
AACGCACCUUGCGCCCUUUGGUAUUCCGAGGGGCAUGCCUGUUUGAGUGUCAUUAAAUUAUCAACCUUUACUAGCUUUUUGCUUUGCUAAAGGAUUGGAAGUGGGGGUAUUCAUUUUGCAGGUUUUUGAUAAAGAAAUCUGCUCCCCUCAAAUGCAUUAGCGGUUUCCUUGUGGACUCGUCUAUUAGUGUAAUAAAAUAUAUCUACGCUGUUAGAUGUCUACGUCUUAAGGUUAUAUACUGCUUUAUGGUCGUCUUUUAAUAGGACAACAUUUUUUUGACUCUUGACCUCAAAUCAGGUAGGACUACCCGCUGAACUUAA